RNAcentral lists this ribosomal RNA (250 nucleotides) under uncultured bacterium. RNAcentral describes it as "partial 16S ribosomal RNA". It matches the Rfam family "Bacterial small subunit ribosomal RNA", at positions 524 to 773 of the family's 1533-position model. The record is from RNAcentral.
UACGUAGGGUGCGAGCGUUAAUCGGAAUUACUGGGCGUAAAGCGUGCGCAGGCGGUUGCCUAAGCCAGGCGUGAAAUCCCCGGGCUUAACCUGGGAAUUGCGCUUGGGACUGGGCGGCUAGAGUACGGCAGAGGGAGGUGGAAUUCCACGUGUAGCAGUGAAAUGCGUAGAGAUGUGGAGGAACACCGAUGGCGAAGGCAGCCUCCUGGGCCAGUACUGACGCUCAUGCACGAAAGCGUGGGGAGCAAAC